RNAcentral lists this ribosomal RNA (400 nucleotides) under uncultured fungus. RNAcentral's name for it is "eukaryotic LSU rRNA". The stretch from base 1 to 154 matches the Rfam family "5.8S ribosomal RNA". The record is from RNAcentral. Lineage: Eukaryota; Fungi.
AACUUUUAACAACGGAUCUCUUGGCUCUCGCAUCGAUGAAGAACGCAGCGAAAUGCGAUAAGUAAUGUGAAUUGCAGAAUUCAGUGAAUCAUCGAAUCUUUGAACGCACCUUGCACCCUUUGGUAUUCCGAAGGGUAUGCCCGUUUGAGUGUCAUUGUAAUCUCACACCAACUUUAUUGUUGGAGGUGGACUUGGAGGUUGCUGUUGAAAAAUAGCUCUUCUUAAAUGUAUUAGUGUGGCUCUGGUUGGACUUAAGCCCGAUGUAAUAAAAUUUCAUUGUGGUGUCUAUCAGAAAAGUGCUUCUAACCGUCUUCGGACAAACUUUUUGACAACUUGGCCUCAAAUCGGGUAGGACUACCCGCUGAACUUAAGCAUAUCAAUAAGCGGAGGAAAAGAAACU